GACGAACGCUGGCGGCGUGCCUAAUACAUGCAAGUCGAGCGAAGUUUUUCUGGUGCUUGCACUAGAAAAACUUAGCGGCGAACGGGUGAGUAACACGUAAAGAACCUGCCUCAUAGACUGGGACAACUAUUGGAAACGAUAGCUAAUACCGGAUAACAGCAUUAACUGCAUGGUUGAUGUUUAAAAGUUGGUUAUGCUAACACUAUGAGAUGGCUUUGCGGUGCAUUAGCUAGUUGGUGGGGUAAAGGCCUACCAAGGCGACGAUGCAUAGCCGACCUGAGAGGGUGAUCGGCCACACUGGGACUGAGACACGGCCCAGACUCCUACGGGAGGCAGCAGUAGGGAAUCUUCCGCAAUGGGCGAAAGCCUGACGGAGCAACGCCGCGUGAGUGAAGAAGGAUUUCGGUUCGUAAAGCUCUGUUGUUAGGGAAGAAUGGAUAUGUAGUAACUAU
RNAcentral lists this ribosomal RNA (452 nucleotides) under Gemella morbillorum. RNAcentral describes it as "bacterial SSU rRNA". It matches the Rfam family "Bacterial small subunit ribosomal RNA", at positions 28 to 467 of the family's 1533-position model. Lineage: Bacteria; Bacillati; Bacillota; Bacilli; Caryophanales; Gemellaceae. The record is from RNAcentral.